GGAAGCGCAUGGGGUCCGGUGAUCCUCCCGGUCUUCAAAACCGGCGGGCGGCAGGAAUCCUGUCGCCGGUGCGUUCGACUCGCACACGCUUCCGCCA
This 97-nucleotide transfer RNA is filed under the name Terriglobia bacterium. Its description in RNAcentral is "tRNA-Sec". It matches the Rfam family "Selenocysteine transfer RNA". The record is from RNAcentral. Lineage: Bacteria; Pseudomonadati; Acidobacteriota; Terriglobia.